Arabidopsis lyrata subsp. lyrata is the source of this 307-nucleotide long non-coding RNA. RefSeq lists it as uncharacterized. The transcript is spliced from 2 exons. The record is from RefSeq and is a predicted model, not a curated record. Lineage: Eukaryota; Viridiplantae; Streptophyta; Magnoliopsida; Brassicales; Brassicaceae.
UGAUGCACUGUUUGGAGGCCAUCAGCUGAAAUCGAGUACAUGAGAGAUGCACUUGGUUCAGCUAUUGCAUGGCCAAUGGAUAAGUUGGUCAUCUUUUGAUCAGUUUAAGAAACUGAGGGGAAUGAAGUAACUUUGGUCCAUGUUAGCUAGUUUUAAUUAAGUUUAAGACAGAGCUAAUCAUCAACUUAUGACUUGUGUUAUGUAUUUUAUUUUGGAUUAGAACUUCUGUUAUGUAUGAUGAAUGAUUAUGUGAACUUUUACUCUUAAGGAUAUGGAAUCAGACUUUAUGUGAAAUGAUUUUUAUUUC